This 1026-nucleotide long non-coding RNA is filed under the name Pogona vitticeps (central bearded dragon). RNAcentral's name for it is "lncRNA (ENSPVIG00000022343.1)". The record is from RNAcentral. Lineage: Eukaryota; Metazoa; Chordata; Lepidosauria; Squamata; Agamidae.
CCGCGGACCGCACUCCGGGGCCGGGGGCUAGGCCUUCGCCCCGGCGGCAACCAAAGUCGUUCCCAAGCAACGACGCGCCCGACAACUUUUCUCUUGCCCUUGAACCCGAGACACAAUCCACCCCGAGGACUCCCAUUCACACGUGAGGACUUGACAGCCUCCGAGCAGGGCAGGGAGGGAAGCCGACCUCGACUUCCUCCGCCGUCCUGUUCAAAGCAGCAGUUUGGAGAUCUUGGCAGGGGGGAAAAAUCAUCCGAAGGGCCCGAGCGGGGAGAUACCUGGAAGUACAAUCGGGACCAGCCCCCCCUCUCCCCCCCAAUCCCCGCACCACGCGUUCCUCUUUCAGGGGUCGCCACCGAGACGCUCCUUGUCUCCCCAGCUCUCUCCCCCGCUUCCCGCCAGCAAUUGCUCCCCUUUGCCUUUAGAAAAGGGGGGGGUCACCAGUCCAGAUGGCCGGUCCAGCCGUCAGUCCAGCCAUCCGCCAGCAGUUCUGCGGCGCGCGCGAUCCGCAUACCUGUUAGGCGGCGUCUUUUUCAUGCAUCCGGUGGGGGCUCAGCUCCGAUUCCCUGGGGCGGAUCCGCCGGCGAAAGGGAGAGAGAGCGAGCGGCGCCCGCGCGCCUUUCCUGCCGCCGCCGCCGCUUCUUUCCCUUCCUUCCGCGCUCUCCCUUUCUUUGGCUCUCUCUCUCUCUGUGUGUGCGUGCGUGUGUGUGUGUGUGUGUGUGUGUGUGUGUGUGUGUGUGCGUCUCACGCCAGCAUACGCGCGAAGGCAGGCGCACGGCGUUCCUCCAGGAAGUCGGGCUCUGCGAGCGAGCCAGCCGGACCGACUGGCCCUUCCCUCCAAUGUGCCUUUGUUUAUGUGGGCUCCGUAUUGCAAAGCCAACAUGCACCUCAAGUCUCCAAGCGUCAGUGCACGUCAGUGCCGCCCGCCCAAUCAGCCAGGCAAGGGGCUGGAUCGCUCGGCACAGUUGGCUAGUUCUUGCUUUGGUAAAUUUCCGACGUGACAUCACCAAAGAGUGGCGCUUUUAA